GGGGGCGUGGCGGAAUGGUAGACGCUACGGACUUAGAAAACUGAGCCUUAUUGGAGAAAUCCAUUAAGUGACCGCUCUCAAAUUCAGGGAAACCUAACUCUGGUAACAGACAAGGCAAUCCUGAGCCAAGCCGAAAUUUCGGAAGGUGCAGAGACUCGACGGGAGCUACCCUAACGUAAAGCCGAGGGUAAAGGGAGAGUCCAAUUCUCAAAACCAGAAUUCUGGCAGCAGCGAAAGUUGCGGGAGAAUGAAAAUCCGUUGGCUGGAGACAGCCGUGUGGGUUCAAGUCCCACCGCCCCCA
Molecule: transfer RNA, 301 nt
Filed under: Oxynema acuminatum PCC 6304
Lineage: Bacteria; Bacillati; Cyanobacteriota; Cyanophyceae; Oscillatoriales; Oscillatoriaceae
Description: tRNA-Und (NNN) (tRNA-Und-NNN-1-1)
Rfam family: Group I catalytic intron (bases 25-225)
About the family: Group I catalytic introns are large self-splicing ribozymes. They catalyse their own excision from mRNA, tRNA and rRNA precursors in a wide range of organisms.
Source: RNAcentral